This 253-nucleotide ribosomal RNA is filed under the name uncultured bacterium. RNAcentral describes it as "partial 16S ribosomal RNA". It matches the Rfam family "Bacterial small subunit ribosomal RNA", at positions 524 to 776 of the family's 1533-position model. The record is from RNAcentral.
UACAGAGGGUGCGAGCGUUAAUCGGAAUUACUGGGCGUAAAGGGCGCGUAGGUGGUUUUAUAAGUGGGAUGUGAAAGCCCCGGGCUCAACCUGGGAAGUGCAUGCCAAACUGUAAGACUAGAAUACAGGAGAGGGUGGCGGAAUUUCCGGUGUAGCGGUGAAAUGCGUAGAGAUCGGAAGGAACGUCAGUGGCGAAGGCGGCCACCUGGACUGAUAUUGACACUGAGGCGCGAAAGCGUGGGUAGCGAACAGG